UACGUAGGGGGCAAGCGUUAUCCGGAUUUACUGGGUGUAAAGGGAGCGUAGGCGGCGGAGCAAGUCAGAAGUGAAAGCCCGGGGCUCAACCCCGGGACGGCUUUUGAAACUGCCCUGCUUGAUUUCAGGAGAGGUAAGCGGAAUUCCUAGUGUAGCGGUGAAAUGCGUAGAUAUUAGGAGGAACACCAGUGGCGAAGGCGGCUUACUGGACUGAUAAUGACGCUGAGGCUCGAAAGCGUGGGGAGCAAACAGG
Molecule: ribosomal RNA, 253 nt
Filed under: Pseudocoprococcus catus
Lineage: Bacteria; Bacillati; Bacillota; Clostridia; Lachnospirales; Lachnospiraceae
Description: Coprococcus catus partial 16S ribosomal RNA
Rfam family: Bacterial small subunit ribosomal RNA
Source: RNAcentral